GCAUUACUGUAUAAUGACUCCAAAACAUA
Molecule: non-coding RNA, 29 nt
Filed under: Cricetulus griseus (Chinese hamster)
Lineage: Eukaryota; Metazoa; Chordata; Mammalia; Rodentia; Cricetidae
Source: RNAcentral